This is a non-coding RNA of Lupinus angustifolius (narrow-leaved blue lupine), 119 nucleotides long. The record is from Rfam. NCBI's taxonomy places the organism in Eukaryota, Viridiplantae, Streptophyta, Magnoliopsida, Fabales, Fabaceae.
AGGUGCGAUCAAACCAGCACUAAUGCACCAGAUCCUAACAUAACUCCCUAGUUAAACAUGCUUGGGCGAGAGUAGUAAUAAGAUGGGUGACCUCCUAGGAAGUCCUCGUGUUGUACCUC